This 74-nucleotide transfer RNA is filed under the name Minisyncoccota bacterium. RNAcentral describes it as "tRNA-Arg". It matches the Rfam family "tRNA". Rfam says of the family: Transfer RNA (tRNA) molecules are approximately 80 nucleotides in length. Their secondary structure includes four short double-helical elements and three loops (D, anti-codon, and T loops). The record is from RNAcentral. Lineage: Bacteria; Bacillati; Minisyncoccota.
GCGCCAGUAGCUCAGCGGAUUAGAGCACUUGUCUUCGGAACAAGGUGUCGUGGGUUCGAGUCCCUCCUGGCGCA